GGCGCCUGAGAAGUGGAAGGACCUGGCGUCCAGGACAGGAAAGUGCGUGAUUUACAACUGGGAGGAUGGGCGCUGUCCCGGAGCCCGUCCUGGGCCAGGGAGCAGGAGAGGGAGGAACUACAGUUCCCGACGCGCUGCAGGUGGGCGGAGAUCGUGCGCUUCGGCGCCAGUUGCACGGCCUUGGCAGCCAGUGGCGGCUCCCCUGCUCUUGCAGUCCCCUUGUCUUCUGACCUCUCGCUCCUCGGUCAUGUGUCCACGCCAGUCGCCGCGGCAGCCCCUGAUGCCCGAGCGGCGGGUUCCCAGGCCCAGGUGUGGGCGCCACCGCCCACCAUGCGCCAAGCCCAGAGCCUGGUUGAAUCGUUCGCCGCCCUGUCCACCCAUUUGGCCAUUAUCCUGCCACCUCCAAAUCCUGUUUUUGACACCUCUCGGGAGAGAGAGAAAACGGAAAGAUAAAGGAAUAAACUCCUCGUGGCCGUAGUUAGUGGGUAAAUUCAGAUCUCGUUUGAACGGAGGUUUUUCUUAUCUCCAGCCACCGUAUCCACCACCACCAGAAUCGUCUUUUUAGUCAUCACAGCCUGUCUCCAUCAUUACCUUGUUCAGAAGCCUCUCGCAGCUUCCAUCGUGUGGUUAUAAAAUCCAAAUUCCUUAUAAAGUCCAAAUUCAAGAGGAGGAGUGCGUGUUAAGUUAAUGUCUAGACCUUACCAGCCAAUUUCAAGCUCCUCAGUAUGGAAAUUGCAACUGAAAACACCCCUUCCAAAAAAAGCAGUCUGCAUUUUUCUCUGAGUUUUCUUCUCCAAAUUUCGCACCCCUGACAUUGCUUACACACUCUGGAUACCACCUGCUGUGGCGUGGCAGAAGCAGACAUCCAGCGAUAGCUAGGUUUCCUGUCGUUGACACCCAAGCAAGACAGGCGUGUACCUAACUGAGGACCUGCCGGUGAUAGAAGUCUCAGCUUUUCUCAGAGACAGGUGGGCAGAAAACAAGGGUAAGGUUAAAAAAGAAAAGGGAAGUGAGCAGAUCCACAGUGGAACGCAGCUAUACAGUGGAAGACAGACCAUGUGACCCAUUAGGGAAAGGGGCAGCAGCAGGUAUUAGAGAGAGACCUGUAGGGAUGAUGAUCGUCCCGGUGCUAGCGUCUGAUCCCAGACAAAUUUAUCUUCACCAUUACUUCCCUUUUAUGUACAGCUACUUAAAUGUGUGUUUUUCCAAAGUACCUUACUGGAGAAGACACCAGCUCUCACUCUCCCUCUACACCAUCCACCCGCAGCCAUGACACACUUUUAUGAUCGGGGCACUUGGAAUUCUCACUGCUGCCUCCCUGUCUGUGCACCCUUGCGAGUGUUUUCCCCUCACCUGGAACACGCUUCCUUCUAGUUCUAGGUGUAGAAAUCCUACCUGCUCUUCCAGGGUCCGUGGUUUACCUCCACAACCCCAAGGAUCUGCCACCGAAGGGGCAAAAAAGUCCCUUAGCACCGAGUAAUUUUUAGUAACAUCACAUUUUGAGUUGGAUGAUAGUGAUUUUUAUGUCUUAGAGAUGAGUCUUUAUGCUGCAAAGUGCUGCAUAGCAGAUGUUAAAUGAACGUCAGAAGGAAUCAAAUUUACUGCAAAUAAUUGAAGGCAUCCAAGAGUUCCCCAGCCUCCCUGCACCUGACAUGUGAUUAAGUUCUACCAGCCAAACAUCAGCAAAAGGGGCCUGGCCCCUAGGGCCUUCCUGUGCUUUUUGUCACUUCCUGCUGGCUGGAAGAGGGAUGAAUCCCAGGACCCUGAGCUGGUGCUUAAGCUACUGUUUCUCGGCCCCACACCUUCCCUUUUAUACUCUGCCUUGUAAUGUAGGGACUGGGGAGCCAUGUGCCACCUCUCCUGCCAGAGUCCUGUUCAGCUGUGCCAACAGAUGCACCCAAGGCAACCAGAAGAUGAGAGGUGGGAGAAGGGCCUGUGCCUCCCAUUCUGUCCUGUCUGACUCCCGGUCCUACCAGCGUCAUGCUAUCCUUGCUUUUACACCCUGGCAGUGGCAGUUCAUGAGCAAAGCAGCAUAUGAAUUCGGUCUGCAGUUUCUCUGACACACGCAGAGCCAGCCUCAUAGUGUCCCCUCGGAGAUAUCAGCAAAGUUGGCUUCCCAGCUCCACAGAACCCUGACUCCAAGAGCAGAGGCCCCAGCACCAGCCCAGAAGGUCUCUUCUUCAGAUGUCUGCGUGUGAUCUCUGGGCGGCAGCUCCUCCACAUUUCUGAGUUUUGCUCACUCCUUCCUCUUUCCUUUGUUCUCUCCAGCCCAAGUUGUCAGCUGCUUCUUGCAGUGGCUCCUUCUGUGAUAUUUUAGUGUUUUGUUUUUACCUUUUCUCUCUUAAAAUAAUUUGGGUGUAAUGUGGGUCUCCUGGCUGAACCCUGCCCCAGCCAUGUGUGGAAGAUGCUGUACUGUCCCGAGGAACUCCCUGCAGGAGAGAAGCUCACCCCACCAGCCUGUUCUUUGACCCUGGACUGUGACUCAAGCACUUUUGGAAGCCAGGUUACAAAGACUGCAUCUUUUUCUCCUGAUCCCUUCUCCUGCCCCAAGCUUGGAGGGAUCACAAACAAGCUGGUGAAUAAGGAAAAUGUUGGAACAAAGGAAAAGCCUGUCAUGCCCCAUUCCCACCCACCCACACCCAUCUUGCUAGCGUCUAAGAACGGCCACCAGCUCCAUGUGUGAGAAGCUAAGUUGAAGACAGGAAAUAAGUGACAGCACAUCACACUGGACUUUGUGUUAUCUCAGAGUGACUGGAAAGGCUAGGGUGCAUGCCCAAGACUGCAUCUUCGGUAAGAGAGAGCCCAGGGGACAAACCCCACAGACAACAAUGAUUUAAAAAGCAAGACAUGGAGGAAGUGACUUCAUGAUCAUCUUCUGCUUGGUGCUGCCCUUCCUGAGGCCACCAGGAACACACCUGUAGCCCAGCAAAGUUGAGGCCAUCGACUGGCUCAUCACAACAAGGAAGACCGUGCACCACCGGGACCCAGCAGCAGCUCAGCAGCAGCAGCGAGAGGGCCCUUGGGAAAGACUUGGAAGCUUUGUCUAUCUUAUACGAGGUGAUCUUGGGGAGCGUCAAGGAAACAGGCUGUGAUGGUUAAUACUGAGUGUCAACUUGAAUGGAUUGAAGGAUGCAAAGGAUUGUUCCUGGAUGUAUAUGUGAGAGUAUUGCCAAAGGAGAUUAACAUUUUAAUCAGUGGACUGGGAGAGGCAGACCCACCCUCAAUCUGGGUGGGCACCAUUUAAUCAGCUGCCACAGCAGCUAAAAUAAAGCAGGCAGAAGGUGGAAUGAGCAGACUUGCUGAGUCUUCCAGCCUUCAUCCUUCUCCCAUCCUGGAUGCUUCCUGCCCUCAAACAUCAGACUCCAAGUUCUUCAGCUUUUUUUUUUUUUUUGGACUCUUGGACUUACACCAUUGGUUUGCCAGAGGCUCCCAGGCCUCUAGCCGCAGACUGAAGGCUGCACUGUGAGCCUCCCUACCUUUGAAGUUUGGGACUCAGACUGGCUUCUUGGCUCCUCAGCUUGCAGUCAGCCUAUUGUGAGACUUCCCCUUGUGAUCAUGUAAGCCAAUUCCCCUAAUAAACUCCCCCCAUAUAUACAUCUA
Long non-coding RNA from Symphalangus syndactylus (siamang), 3600 nucleotides. RefSeq lists it as uncharacterized. Lineage: Eukaryota; Metazoa; Chordata; Mammalia; Primates; Hylobatidae. The record is from RefSeq and is a predicted model, not a curated record.